This 253-nucleotide ribosomal RNA is filed under the name uncultured bacterium. RNAcentral describes it as "partial 16S ribosomal RNA". It matches the Rfam family "Bacterial small subunit ribosomal RNA", at positions 524 to 776 of the family's 1533-position model. The record is from RNAcentral.
UACGAAGGGGGCGAGCGUUGUUCGGAUUUACUGGGCGUAAAGGGCGCGUAGGCGGCGGGUCAAGUCGAGUGUGAAAGCCCCGGGCUCAACCUGGGAAUUGCGCUCGAGACUGGUCUGCUUGAGUUCGGGAGAGGAGAGUGGAAUUCCCAGUGUAGAGGUGAAAUUCGUAGAUAUUGGGAAGAACACCGGUGGCGAAGGCGGGUCUCUGGGCCGAUACUGACGCUGAGGAGCGAAAGCGUGGGGAGCGAACAGG